Molecule: RNA transcript, 4724 nt
Organism: Lutzomyia longipalpis
Lineage: Eukaryota; Metazoa; Arthropoda; Insecta; Diptera; Psychodidae
Gene: Hs6st
Gene name: heparan-sulfate 6-O-sulfotransferase 2
Exons: 6
Source: RefSeq, a predicted model, not a curated record
AGUGACAGUUUGCUUGGUCUCUGUGAUGGUUCAUUUGCUGUUUUGAUGAGCUUCGUGAUCGCAUUUCUCCCAAAUAAAACUGAAAGUGUUUAUUUUUAGCGGUCUUAUGCUGUGCUUUGAAUCCCCCCAGACAUGUAUGUUGUGCAAAGACCCGGAAAUAGUGACCCCUUAGGACAGUGUGAAUUCCUUUAAGUGAACCCACCAGCUGUGUGCUCACACAUCCCGGAGGACUUCCUUUUGGGGCACUUUAAAAAUUCCUCCUGCCCCUUUAGUUAAUCUCUAGCCGCUGUGUGUGCUGGAGGUUCUCCCCAGAAUCACUGGGAGUGCAUGUGAAAUAUAGCUAAGAGUGUCUUUGGGGGGGUAAAUGUGGACUCCAGUGUGGGAUUAUGGUGGCCCUGGACAUGAGAAAGAGUGUCUCAGUUCAAGUGGACAGUGAUUUCGCCCUGCUUCUGCCGGAGGGAUUGUACGAAAUCAAGAAAAUGGAGCCACGCUCCCGACAGCGGUCCAUUGUGGUCGUCUGCGUAUUCCUGGCUAUUGCCGGAAUGAUCAUUUUCGGCUACUUCUGCAACGAUCAAGUAUGUGCCCUAACGAAACGAGAAGCAAUGAUGAGCUCAGAGGUGUCUGCACUCACAUCAGACUCCACAAAUUCCGUGGGGAAGUCAUCGAGUCAACUAACAAAUCCUGGCCUUAGCUACGAAGAAGUUCUCAAUGACGAUGACUUUCAAUUCGAUAUGAAUGCUCACGAUGUGAUGGUGUUCUUGCACAUCCAGAAAACCGGUGGCACAUCUUUUGGCAAGCAUCUCGUACGUGAUCUGGACCUAAAACGUCCAUGUACGUGCCAGAGGCGGAAAAAGCGCUGCCACUGCUUCCGGCCGCAUCGCAAUGAGAUAUGGCUCUUCUCGCGCUACUCAACCGGCUGGAAGUGUGGCCUUCAUGCUGACUGGACAGAGCUGACGAGCUGUGUGGACCAGGAAUUGGACAAGAAUGAGGGUGAAACGACAAAAAGGCGAUACUUUUACGUUUCGUUGCUCCGUGAACCCAUUGCACGUUACCUCAGCGAAUUCAGGCAUGUCCAGCGUGGGGCCACGUGGAAGGCAUCCCGACACUGGUGUCUGGGUAAAGUUGCCACCCCAGCUGAACUACCUCCCUGCUAUACGGGUGAAAAUUGGAUGGAUGUGACUCUGAAUGAGUUUGCGGCGUGUGAGAGCAAUCUGGCAGCGAAUCGUCAGACACGAAUGCUGUCGGAUUUAGCUCUUGUUGGUUGCUACAAUAAAUCAUCGUUACCACCUCACGAGAGGGAUCGCAUAAUGUUGGCCAGUGCUAAAAGAAAUCUCGCCUCAAUGGCAUACUUUGGCCUGACGGAAUAUCAAAAAAUUUCCCAGUACAUCUUCGAGGAGACAUUCAAUUUGCGCUUUGCCAUACCCUUUGAGCAGCACAACACAACCGUGUCCACGACGACGAUGAAUGAUUUGAUCCCGGAGCAGAGGAGACGAAUUGAGCAGCUCAAUUCACUUGACAUUGAACUCUAUGCCUUUGCCAAGAGGCUCCUCUUCCAAAGAUUUGAGAAGCUAAAGGCCAAAGAUGCGGACUUUGAAGUGCGAUUUGCACACUUGGGCAAUUUGGGAAUGCGAAGUGGUGCGACUGAAUUCAACUGGGACAGCAAUAUUGAGGAUACGAGCACGGAACAGCAGUGAAAUCAUGGAUAAUUCCCUCAGUGUGGCAACCACAGUGAUAUUUUAUUGGACGACGAAAGGAUUUUCACCGAGCAGCUCUGAGUGAACGCGAAAGGAGUGCCAUUUGAAGAAGAGAUAUAGCGGGAAAAUACACUGGAAAUUGAAUGGCAGCUGAAAUGAAAACCUCUUCAUUCAAUGAUUAUUUUCAAGCCAAAAAAAGGAAUGAGAAGAAAGAAAAAGAAUGUUUGUUACUAAUAAGUAAAUGAAAGUGAAUACCAGAAGACGAUUGAGAUGAAAAAAAAAUCAGAUUAAUAUUGCUUAUUGUAUAAAAUAUAAACUAACAAUAGAACACAAGAAAAAAUAUAUAUAGAGAAUAUAAAAGUGAGUGUGAAUGGGAAAAUGAAUAAGAGGAUGUGAGUAAUAUUAUAAUAUACAAGUAUAUGGGCGACACAUGAGUAACUAAUUUGAUACAAUGAACAUAUAUUCUAUUGAGGCCUCCUUUAUUGAAGUUACGAGCCAUACCAGUGCUUGACUAACAUAAAAUUGCCAUUUAUUUUCAUGUGAAAAAUUAAAUACACUCAAGAGAGACACUUUGGCGCAUUGAACCGCAUUCUGGCGGAGCAAAAUAUUGGCACAAUUUGUCUCAAUUCUUUUUGCACAAGAAUCCAUCAUACAACCACUAUAAAUAGCCAUUUAGAUGGGUGAGAUUACAAACAACGACAAUUGAAUGAAAUAAUGUUUUUUAAUGGAGUAAUAUACCCGCGUACAUUUUUACCACACAACAUAACAAAAAAAAACGAAGCAAAAACAAAUAACAAAGAACAGUAAGUGAGAAAAAAAAUAAAUGUAGAUUUAAUUGACAUUUUUUUAAGCUACAUAUUACAUAGAGAGGGGUGACAAUAAUUGCAUAAAAAAUGUGUUGGAAAUGUAAUGUAUAGGAAAGUAUGUAGAAUUUUUUUUUAAUUCAUUUUUUAAUAUAUAAAAUAUUUCUUUUUCACAAUUUUUUAACAAAACAUGCAAUAUAACAAAGGAUAAAACAUAAAAUUCAAUAAAUAGAAUGGCGGCUUUGGGGAAGAAAAUUAGCAUAUAAAUUCCAUGCAAAUAUAAAGGUGUUUUUGCAGUCAAGUAGAUUUUCAUAGAAAAGCAUAAAAAGAAACUAUAUAGGUUACCUAAAGAAUAUUCUAAAUGCAACAAGUGUAGAAAAGUCGAAAGUUUUUUUUAUUCUACUAUUUUGUAGCAUUUCCUUCGUACGUAAAUAUACCCACAAAACACCUCCACUGACUUUGUCGUACAAACGACGAGGAAAAAAAGAGAAGUUAAAUGUAAAUACGAAAAGUAAAUUUCAUCUAAAAAGCAACCCCCAUCUGCUGUCUACACAGUUUUUGAGGAAUUCAAUGAAGGGACUUUGGAGGGAAUAAAAAAAGUUUUUAAUACGUCGAGGAAAGAAGUAGCAAAAAGUGUGUCUCCAAAAUUUGUCUUUUUCUACCUCCACCCCUCUGUGUGGAAUUCACAGUCAGUUACUUAAGAUCAAGGCAAUUAAAAGGGGCUCAUUAGGGAAAAUCGUGGCUUCAGAAAGACUCUAUCUUUUUCCAGUUCCCCUCUCUUUAAAUUUUAUACUCUUUUAAUUACUCUCACAAUUCACAAAAGGGUUUAAUUUUCCUCUUUUCUUCAUGCUUCCCUCCAUAGCCCUUGAUAUAUCUACCACCGAAUGAAGGGUCCUUUCGUGUUGAGAGGAAAUAUGUGGGAAUUUUACAUUUGAAAGUAAUAAAUUUUUAUCAAUAUGGAUGAAGGGCAAGGAAAUUUAGAGCUCAAAUUGCACAAAAAUAAUCUUUAAGGGAAUUAGUUUCAAAGCCUUUAUAUUGCACAAAAUGUGCAAUUUUCCGAAUUUUCUUCAAUUUUUUAAUUAUUCUUUCGUUUUGGAGACGCUUGUGAAUCGUUUGGGGAAUUUUUAAAGGAGAUUAUUCAAGUAAAUAUAGGUUAGACUUAGAACCUUCUUCUAGGAAACAUGUAAAAUCAUAUCAUUUUCCACAUACAAUUAGUAAAAAAAAUAUUGAACAAAGAUUGGCCCAAAAAAAUGCACAAUUACGUCACCCUACGAUUUUUUUAAAAUUCAUGAAGCAUUCGUGCUCAUGUUUCAAUGCUAAGUUUUGGCUAAGAAUUUGUAAAGCAUUUUUGGAAAUAUUCUUCCUAAAUUUUAGAAUUUUCUUUUCCGGUUUUUUCGUGAAACAUUAGCGCAAAUGUUUCAUGCAUGACGUAUGUAAGUGUUUAAAUUUUUGAGUAAAUAUUUGUAAAGUUUCCUAAGCUCUUCCACGUAAAAAAUGAUAUAAGUAUAAUAUGAUUGGAUAUUUUUAAAUCCUUUUUUGAUCCCUUACAAGACGUUUUUUUUGCACCGUAUGUUCCCUCAAACAAGGUACUAACCCAUAUAGGUUUGAAGAACUUCUUUUCUUUUCUUAAAGUCAUGAUGGCUAAGCAAUUUCAUUGAAGCCAGGUCAUGUCCAUUUAGCACAGAGACAGAUUAAGAUGGAGACAAAAUAGAUUCUUUUGAGAAUAUUUAGUCAGAGAAGACAAAAGUGAUUGAAAUAAAAUGCCCAUAAGAGUAAAUUCAAUCCGUAGUUGUAUUUCUGCACGGAAAUAAGUGAAAGAAUUUGGAAUAAUGAGUAUGUUGUCGUCGUGAAUAACAAACAAAUAAAAUGGGGAAGCUGGAGAUGAGAGGAUGGCUCUUCCACUCGGGAAGAAAUGCCACUCGAAACAUUCGUGUGCGACAUUCAGUGUUUCGGCCUAAAUAACAAAAUAAGAAUCCAAAGCUAAAUUACUCGCUUCCGAGAGUUGUGUCUCAAGGCACACAAUUCUCAGAGAGAAAAGAAGUGUGACAGAGCUAUUACACACCCGGAGAAGUGUGAAAACACACCUGGAGAAGUGUGAAUGAGGGUCAGUGACGUCACCGAAAAUUUCAGCAAAUAUUUCAACAAAGAUGAAACUUGAGUUUCAUGGUCAUCUCAAAAAGUAUGUCGCAACCCUUCAAAAAUUAGUGUCUGUCAAAGGAAUUCGCGA